UACGUAGGGUGCAAGCGUUAAUCGGAAUUACUGGGCGUAAAGCGUGCGCAGGCGGUUUUGUAAGCCAGAUGUGAAAUCCCCGGGCUCAACCUGGGAAUGGCAUUUGGGACUGCAAGGCUGGAGUGCGGCAGAGGAGACUGGAAUUCCUGGUGUAGCAGUGAAAUGCGUAGAUAUCAGGGGGAAUACCGAUGGCGAAGGCAGGUCUCUGGGCUGACACUGACGCUCAUGCACGAAAGCGUGGGGAGCAAACAGG
Molecule: ribosomal RNA, 253 nt
Filed under: uncultured bacterium
Lineage: Bacteria
Description: partial 16S ribosomal RNA
Rfam family: Bacterial small subunit ribosomal RNA
Source: RNAcentral